Long non-coding RNA from Ipomoea nil (Japanese morning glory), 160 nucleotides. RefSeq lists it as uncharacterized. Lineage: Eukaryota; Viridiplantae; Streptophyta; Magnoliopsida; Solanales; Convolvulaceae. The record is from RefSeq and is a predicted model, not a curated record. The transcript has 3 exons.
AAAACUGCUUGGGAAAUUGUCAAGGCUCCUCGUCAACCGGAUAGUAACCAAUGCGGUUUCUUUGUCAUGGCGUACAUGAAAACUUUAAUUGAGAAUAUGCCAGACUUCGAUGAUAAAAAUUCUGUUCAAGCACUGUUUCAACAAGUUGAUUAUGACAAAG